GAACUGAAGAGUUUGAUCAUGGCUCAGAUUGAACGCUGGCGGCAGGCCUAACACAUGCAAGUCGAGCGGAUGAAGGGAGCUUGCUCCUGGAUUCAGCGGCGGACGGGUGAGUAAUGCCUAGGAAUCUGCCUGGUAGUGGGGGAUAACGUCCGGAAACGGGCGCUAAUACCGCAUACGUCCUGAGGGAGAAAGUGGGGGAUCUUCGGACCUCACGCUAUCAGAUGAGCCUAGGUCGGAUUAGCUAGUUGGUGGGGUAAAGGCCUACCAAGGCGACGAUCCGUAACUGGUCUGAGAGGAUGAUCAGUCACACUGGAACUGAGACACGGUCCAGACUCCUACGGGAGGCAGCAGUGGGGAAUAUUGGACAAUGGGCGAAAGCCUGAUCCAGCCAUGCCGCGUGUGUGAAGAAGGUCUUCGGAUUGUAAAGCACUUUAAGUUGGGAGGAAGGGCAGUAAGUUAAUACCUUGCUGUUUUGACGUUACCAACAGAAUAAGCACCGGCUAACUUCGUGCCAGCAGCCGCGGUAAUACGAAGGGUGCAAGCGUUAUCGGAAUUACUGGGCGUAAAGCGCGCGUAGGUGGUUCAGCAAGUUGGAUGUGAAAUCCCCGGGCUCAACCUGGGAACUGCAUCCAAAACUACUGAGCUAGAGUACGGUAGAGGGUGGUGGAAUUUCCUGUGUAGCGGUGAAAUGCGUAGAUAUAGGAAGGACACCAGUGGCGAAGGCGACCACCUGGACUGAUACUGACACUGAGGUGCGAAAGCGUGGGAGCAAACAGGAUUAGAUACCCUGGUAGUCCACGCCGUAAACGAUGUCGACUAGCGUUGGGAUCCUUGAGAUCUUUAGUGGCGCAGCUAACGCGAUAAGUCGACCGCCUGGGAGUACGGCCGCAAGGUUAAAACUCAAAUGAAUUGACGGGGGCCCGCACAAGCGGUGGAGCAUGUGGUUUAAUUCGAAGCAACGCGAAGAACCUUACCUGGCCUUGACAUGCUGAGAACUUUCCAGAGAUGGAUUGGUGCCUUCGGGAAACUCAGACACAGGUGCUGCAUGGCUGUCGUCAGCUCGUGUCGUGAGAUGUUGGGUUAAGUCCCGUAACGAGCGCAACCCUUGUCCUUAGUUACCAGCACUCGGGUGGGCACUCUAAGGAGACUGCCGGUGACAAACGGAGGAAGGUGGGGAUGACGUCAAGUCAUCAUGGCCCUUACGGCCCAGGGCUACACACGUGCUACAAUGGUCGGUACAAAGGGUUGCCAAGCCGCGAGGUGGAGCUAAUCCCAUAAAACCGAUCGUAGUCCGGAUCGCAGUCUGCAACUCGACUGCGUGAAGUCGGAAUCGCUAGUAAUCGUGAAUCAGAAUGUCACGGUGAAUACGUUCCCGGGCCUUGUACACACCGCCCGUCACACCAUGGGAGUGGGUUGCUCCAGAAGUAGCUAGUCUAACCGCAAGGGGGACGGUUACCACGGAGUGAUUCAUGACUGGGGUGAAGUCGUAACAAGGUAGCCGUAGGGGAACCUGCGGCUGGAUCACCUCCUUAAUCGAAGAUCCCGG
Molecule: ribosomal RNA, 1546 nt
Filed under: Pseudomonas aeruginosa C1913C
Lineage: Bacteria; Pseudomonadati; Pseudomonadota; Gammaproteobacteria; Pseudomonadales; Pseudomonadaceae
Description: 16S ribosomal RNA
Rfam family: Bacterial small subunit ribosomal RNA
Source: RNAcentral